RNAcentral lists this ribosomal RNA (446 nucleotides) under uncultured bacterium. RNAcentral describes it as "partial 16S ribosomal RNA". It matches the Rfam family "Bacterial small subunit ribosomal RNA", at positions 29 to 523 of the family's 1533-position model. The record is from RNAcentral.
AACGAACGCUGGCGGCAGGCUUAACACAUGCAAGUCGAACGCCCCGCAAGGGGAGUGGCAGACGGGUGAGUAACGCGUGGGAAUCUACCUUUUGCUACGGGAUAGCUCCGGGAAACUGGAAUUAAUACCGUAUGUGCCCUUCGGGGGAAAGAUUAUCGGCAAAGGAUGAGCCCGCGUUGGAUUAGCUAGUUGGUGGGGUAAAGGCCUACCAAGGCGACGAUCCAUAGCUGGUCUAAGAGGAUGAUCAGCCACAUUGGGACUGAGACACGGCCCAAACUCCUACGGGAGGCAGCAGUGGGGAAUAUUGGACAAUGGGCGCAAGCCUGAUCCAGCCAUGCCGCGUGAGUGAUGAAGGCCCUAGGGUUGUAAAGCUCUUUCAGUGGGGACGAUAAUGACGGUACCCACAGAAGAAGCCCCGGCUAACUUCGUGCCAGCAGCCGCCGUAA